UGUGUUUGACGAAACAGACUUUAAACAAAUGAAGGAUGUUGUACGCCUGAGGAGAAGUACACCCGAGAAGUGUUUUAUCUGACAUAAUUCGAAACUUUACCUUUUUAUUAUCGCAAAAACUGUUUACCUUCAAUUACGCUAUAACGAAGGUAAUGGACACCUGAUACGCGUUACAACAAAAUGUCAUCCCUCAGGCUUAUACGCUUUGUUCGUGCUUGCACGUGCAUGCCGCAAGACAUGUAAUCACGUGACCACGUAGCAACAGUAAGGAGGUUGUCUCUACUAACUCAAUGAACAGACAGAAUGAUGAGGGCGCAAGUUGUAGAGGAUGAUAAUGAUGAUGAUGGAAAUGUUCUGCGGGAGAGAAUACAGAUAUUUUCCUAUUUUACCCCAAAGUAAAGCGGUCCGAAUCUACAAGAGGUCAUCCGACGAACAAACUCGCUCCGACAUCAUUACAAAGGAGGUACAGAAAGUCCCAAGACACCCGCGGAUACCAAGGGAAUAUCUGAUAAGCUGCCUACCCUGUCUACAGCUUCUGUUGUGUCCGCUGAAGAGACUGUCAGCCGUGACAAAACUCACUUCACACUGAACUUCAAUUUCUAAUGUAUUUGAGAAAAAUAUGUCAACAGUUUGUGUAUAAAGAAUGAUUCGUGA
This is a long non-coding RNA of Haliotis rubra (blacklip abalone), 654 nucleotides long. RefSeq lists it as uncharacterized. Lineage: Eukaryota; Metazoa; Mollusca; Gastropoda; Lepetellida; Haliotidae. The record is from RefSeq and is a predicted model, not a curated record. The transcript has 2 exons.